This 173-nucleotide ribosomal RNA is filed under the name uncultured Rhodococcus sp. RNAcentral describes it as "partial 16S ribosomal RNA". It matches the Rfam family "Bacterial small subunit ribosomal RNA", at positions 340 to 525 of the family's 1533-position model. The record is from RNAcentral. Lineage: Bacteria; Bacillati; Actinomycetota; Actinomycetes; Mycobacteriales; Nocardiaceae.
UACGGGGGGCAGCAGUGGGGAAUAUUGCACAAUGGGCGAAAGCCUGAUGCAGCGACGCCGCGUGAGGGAUGACGGCCUUCGGGUUGUAAACCUCUUUCAGCAGGGACGAAGCGCAAGUGACGGUACCUGCAGAAGAAGCACCGGCUAACUACGUGCCAGCAGCCGCGGUAAUA